This 4526-nucleotide long non-coding RNA is filed under the name Sus scrofa (pig). RNAcentral's name for it is "lncRNA (ENSSSCG00000052688.1)". Lineage: Eukaryota; Metazoa; Chordata; Mammalia; Artiodactyla; Suidae. The record is from RNAcentral.
UGAGAUCUUUAGUUUACAAAGCAUUUUGGAUACAUCAUCCUUUUUGAGCCUCAACUUGUGAUCUCAGCAACUUGUGAGAUUAUUAAGUCACAUAUUAUCCACAUUUUAUAAGUGAAAAAUCUACGAUGUUUCAAAGGGCAGAUGACUUGCUUAAGGACACAGAGCUCUUAAAAGGAGCAGCUGCUUCCCCUAAUGCACGCAUUGUGACUGGCUCGAAGGAAACAGCAACCCUAACAGAAUCAUUUCCACACCACAACAGUCCUGCAAGCCUGCGAGGCACCAGGCACCAAAGAGAUGCCAAAAUGUGACAGGUAGAUUUUAAUUGUCAGAAGAUGGAAGAGCCCUCAGGCCAAAAGGCAUACCCGCUAUGAUUUCAUGCAAAAAGGAAAAGGAAUGGUUAGCCAUCUUUUUUAAGGAGGUUUUUUUUCCUCCACUAAUAUAGAGCCCUUGGUAAAUACUGUGAAUUUUCAUUACAAAAAGAUUGGAUAAAAUCCUGAUAAUUUUCCGUGAAAAUUAUGGCUGCAUCUAAUCAGGUUGUGUGAGAGUUUUUUCCAGCUCCUUAAGAACAUGGACCUCGAUAUCUAAUAAAGUCUCAAUCCUGAUCUAGACAAUCAUUCCCACCUACUAAGAUUUAUGUCCUUUCCACUGAAAAAAUCUGUGAAUAUAAUCAGUUGUCUUUGAGCCGGCUUCCUGGAGCUUCUUGCUUAUUUAAGAAUAUGGUGUGGAAAUGAAAGAGAUCAUGGGCCACUUUACUAAAACUGAGUGCACUAGGAAUUUAUAAAGGAGUAUGACUCUGAAUCUUGCAAGCCACAGGCUUUCAUUGGUGAUACAGCAUUCAAAAAUGCUACUACAUUUUGCUACCUGAUGAACAGAAAGGUAGAAUUUCAAAUCAAAAAAUUCAGCACCUGGUUCUAGAAGCUAAAAAUGUCCAUGAGUCCUCCUCCAUGCAUUAUCACAUCCUUAAAAAAUCUGUACACUUCUGGCCUUCGUUUUGGCUUGGAGAAUUAGAGCUGACUUUGAGCUUCUUGAAUUUUUUUUUUACUACUAUUACUUCAGAGCCUCAGUUAAUAGGAAAUAAUCAAGGUGAUAUCCCCAACACCUUGGUCCCAGGACACUCCUGAUCCCCUUAUGAAUGUUUCUUUUCCAUAAUAACAUCCCUGCAGUUGUAAAGUAUAAGGUGUUUUCAUAUUCAUGAUCUGAUUAAGUCCUACAUUAACCUUUUGUAUAGAUAGGGCAGUAAUAACAAUAAUAACAAUAAUAAUAAAUUAUAUAUAUAUAAAAUACUAUCAUUCCCAUUUUGUGAGCAGAUGAUAUCACUUAUGAAUAUUCACUAGCCUUGCCAAGCCUCAUAGAUUUUGCCCUAUGAUUCUCAGCUAGACUUUAGAAUUAUCUAAAGGGGUUAUUUAAGCAUAGGUACCAGAUAUUCACCACUGAGUGUCUGAUUCAACAAGUGUAGAGUAGGGUCCAAGCAUUUAUUUCUGUAACAAGUUUCUAGUCACUGCUAAUGCUGUCAAGAAUCACCCUUUAGGGGCAAUGUCCUACAGAUUGUGUGCAUAUCUGAGUAUCAAUGACAUAUCAAGGCAAGAUAGUCCUAAGAAGGAAGUUUGUUUUGCAUGAUGUUGCCUUCCUUUCUCCAAUCCUGACCUCCACCAGGAAAAAGUGGAAUGAAUGUAGGGUGGGGAACUAGCAAGAGAGCACCUCACUGUUUAGAAUAAAUUAAGGUCUCAGGAAUUACUCAACAAAACCCUUCAAUUUGCUUCUAACUAGAACCUACUGUUGACUGUUGUUGAUUAUCUUGAAGAUGAGUACCAGUUCACCAAUGAAGAGAUGUGAUAAGACUGGACCUAGGCAAAUGUGAUUAGAUGGAUCUAUAGGCAACUGAUCCAGUAACCAACAAUCUUUAGAUAGAUGGCUCCCUGUCAACUUAGGGGGAAGUUCUUAGAGGCAAGAGGGAGAGACUCACCCCUGACCUAUCCUAGUCAAUAUUUUCUGUAGGCUGGUAAGAAGUCUUGUAUCACAAGCUCAGUUUGAAGCAACAAGGUAAUGUAUCUCUUUUUAAAAAAAAAAAAAAAAAAGCUAAGAAAAGUUUCAGCUGUGUUGCGAAAUAAGAUCCAGAUCAAGGUAGCUGAUAGUAAGGCUGGUUCCUCUGGAAGCCUUAGGUGAGAAUCCAUCUCCUUGCCUUUUGUAGCUUCUAGAGACCAUCUGCACUCCUUAGCUCAUGGUGGGGAAAGGGCUCAGGUUUUAGUCUUUUUUUUUAAAUUUAUUUAGAAAUAACUUCACCUCUUGAUUCUGUCAUCACAUCUCUUACUUCUCACUGUGACCCUCCUAUCCCUCUCCUAUAAGACCCCUUGUGUUUACAUUUAGAUCCCAUCCACAAGACUCUUUUGCCAUAUAAGGUAACAUUCAUAGGUUCUGGGGAUUCAAAAAAAUGAAUAUCUUUUUCCGGGUCAUUAUUCAACCCACCACAGUCCAAUUGCAGUGUAUCCAUCAGACUACAUUCAGAAUGUAGAACCCCUUUCUCAGCACCAGAAUUAAGAGACUCUUUAAUAAAAUAUAUACAAAAGGGCGGUGGGCAGGACUAUGAAAAGCAAGAAUGUGACAGCCGUCUUGUCCAGUGUGGCUGAGAAGGGAGUGGGACCAGGAAACAGAUGAGGCCAGUGCCAGUACUUACCAGAUAAAAUGUCGAAGUCACUCAGCUCUUCCCUGUAAACCAAAAGAACCAGAGUCUCCUAAAUACCACCUCGGUCAAAGAUUCCAUGCUUUUAUAGAAAUCUAUCACGCUGUUCCUAGAUAACAUUUAAAUGCAAAACCAAGGAGUUCCCGCCUUGGCCUUGGCGCAGUGGUUAAUGAAUCUGACUAGGAACCAUGAGGUUGUGGGUUCGAUCCCUGCCCUUGCACAAUGGGUUAACGAUCCGGCAUUGCCAUGAGCUGUAGUGUAGGUUGCAGAUGCGGCUUGGAUCCCGCGUUGCUGUGGCUCUGGCGUAGGCUGGCAGCUACAGCUCCAAUUAGACCCCUAGCCUGAGAACCUCCAUAUGCCGUGGGAGCGGCCCAAGAAAUCACAAAAAGACAAAAAAAUAAAAUAAAAUAAAAUAAAAUAAAUGCAAAACCAAGAGCUUGUUUACCUAUCUCUAAUAUUCAGUAUAAAUCUUGUCCACUUUUCUUUUGAAUUAAAAAUUCACUUAAAUUUUGAAUUUAGAAUGUAUUAUCCAAGACCUUCUUGCUACAAAAAUAGUGGCAGGCUAUAAAAAUCUCUAGCACAAGUGCUUUUCCCUCACUAAUUCUUAAAAUCCUCCCCAACAAUACUCCUUUAGUCUAAGCAUCCAAUCGGUAGUCUUGGGGCAAUAAAUACACCCCUUUUACAUAUCGGAAACUUGAGGCACAGAAAAAAUAAAUUGCAGUUGCAUAUGAAGAACUAAGAGUUAAGAGCUGUUGCCUCCAGCUUUUCUGAGAUAGCAUCUUCCGCCAUGGGCAGGUGUAAUAACAGACAAUACAUGCAGUAUACGGAACAGAGUGUAAAGGCCUUGUCCUGAAGAUCUUGGUCUCUAGGCAGGACUGACAAACUAGAGGACAGUCACUCAGUGACUGCUGUCAUUAUUACAAGCGUCAAAGAGGUGGGAAAGGGCUCAGGUUUUAGUCUUCUUUUUUUUAGUGUGAUUUGGCCCCUUCUCCAAUAAGGGUGUGGACGUUGACCACUGAUUCUCCAAAGGAAAGAUGGCUCAUUUGAUAGAAAUCUGCUGAUGGUGUUCGAGUCAUCCCACAAAUACCAGUUUCAAAUGAUGAUUUACAGAGGGCCACGAAGAAUAAUUUGGAGGAAGUUUAUAGGAAGGAAAGCUUUGAGAGCUGAACCAGAAAAGGUGCUUGAAAGUAAAUCAAAUUAUGGCAUACAUUGAAUUAUGGCAUUUAUUAUUAUGUGCAGAGUAUGCAUGGAAUUUUGAACUAAAAGCUGAGGAAGCAAAGGUCUAGAAACUCUCAUGCAUAGUAAAUAAAUUAACCCUUUGUUCUCCUGCUUUCUAUGUUCCUUAUAUUCGAUGUCUUAUUCAUACAGAUGUACACUGAAAAGGACUAAUAAACCAUUCUCUGCCAUGGAUGUAUUUAACUGUUUGUGUAUGCGACUAAAAUGGAUUCCUCCAGGAGACUUUCUUUGGUUUCAUGUAGACACAGUCAGUAUUUCAAAGGCCACGAAUUCUUUGAGAAAAGGAGAGGGGUUGUGUCUGUUUACGACUAUCAAACUUUCCUAAGCUUAUUAAAUUAGGAACCCUUGUCCUUUUCUUCUGUAAUUUGAAAUUUUUUCUAGUAAUAUGUUUGGCGAAGAAAAAAAAAAAACUGCUAAAUAAGUCAGGGUCUAAUAACUGCAUUAAUGACUGUUCUAAAACCCAUGAGUUCAGAAUACUGUAUCAUUCAGGGCCUAGUCUUAACUUUCUCCUCUAAAAGAUCAGUUUUCAUUGCUGUUUUCUAUGCUGGAAACUACGUAGUGUAAGGAAAUCAGCUUAUCAUCAGCAGGUCAUCAGCCCUUGAAAUAUCUGCCC